GAAACUAGUUAAUCAUUUGUUGCUUUCAUAAUUGAUCAAUCCAGCAUUUCUUGUACAGCCAGGUAGUUAGGCAUUUGUAACAGACACUAUGGGACUAUGCAAUGGGGGACAAGAAAGUAGAGCCCAAAAGGAGCGUUUUUCCAAAGGGCUAUGCAGAAAAGUGCAUUGAUGUGGAACAACAAGGUAAGAUGAGACAGUCUGUUCAACCCAUGUUAU
RNAcentral lists this long non-coding RNA (216 nucleotides) under Homo sapiens (human). RNAcentral describes it as "HSALNT0010180". The record is from RNAcentral. Lineage: Eukaryota; Metazoa; Chordata; Mammalia; Primates; Hominidae.